RNAcentral lists this ribosomal RNA (118 nucleotides) under Pteropus alecto (black flying fox). Lineage: Eukaryota; Metazoa; Chordata; Mammalia; Chiroptera; Pteropodidae. The record is from RNAcentral.
UUCUACGGCCAUGCCACCCUCAACGUGCCAAUCUUGUCCGAUCUUGGAAACUAAGCAGGGUCGGGCCUCGUUAGUCCUUGGAUGGGAGACCAGCUAGGAAGACCAGGUGCUGAAGGCG